CAGGUUGGUUGGGCAAUCGCGGUUCUGCGUUGACGGAAUCGAGGAAAGUCCGCACUCCUAUAGAGCACGGCGUCGGAUAGCGUCCGGGGCGGGUUCAACCUGCCGGAUAAGGGCCACAGAAACAAACAGCACCUUCGGGUGUGAUGGUGAAACGGUGGUGUAAGAGACCACCAGCGCGCACAGCAAUGUGUGUGGCUAGGUAACCCCCGUCGGGAGCAAGGCCAAGCAGGAGCGAUUUCGUCUGUGGACGAUGGGAGACUGCUCGUUUCCAUACGUACCAUUUCCAAGCGUGGGAAUGGUCAGCUCCGGGUAGGCUGCAUUGAGCGAUGUGGCGACACGUCGCCCAGAGAGAUGGUUGCACAGAUGGCGCGAGUCAUUGGACAGAAUGCGGCUUAUAGACCAGCCUGAGGU
This 411-nucleotide RNase P RNA is filed under the name Anaerolineales bacterium. Its description in RNAcentral is "RNase P RNA component class A". It matches the Rfam family "Bacterial RNase P class A". Rfam says of the family: Ribonuclease P (RNase P) is a ubiquitous endoribonuclease, found in archaea, bacteria and eukarya as well as chloroplasts and mitochondria. The record is from RNAcentral. Lineage: Bacteria; Bacillati; Chloroflexota; Anaerolineae; Anaerolineales.